RNAcentral lists this ribosomal RNA (253 nucleotides) under uncultured bacterium. RNAcentral describes it as "partial 16S ribosomal RNA". It matches the Rfam family "Bacterial small subunit ribosomal RNA", at positions 524 to 776 of the family's 1533-position model. The record is from RNAcentral.
AACGUAGGAGACGAACGUUAUCCGGAGUUACUGGGCGUAAAGGGUGCGUAGGUGGUGCCGUAAGUUGGGUGUGAAAUCCCGGAGCUUAACUCCGGAACUGCAUUCAAUACUGCGGUGCUCGAGUACUGGAGAGGAGAUUGGAAUUCACGGUGUAGCAGUGAAAUGCGUAGAUAUCGUGAGGAAGACCAGUGGCGAAGGCGGCUCUCUGGGACGGUACUGACGCUGAGACGCGAAAGCGUGGGGAGCGAACAGG